Molecule: ribosomal RNA, 449 nt
Filed under: uncultured organism
Description: partial 16S ribosomal RNA
Rfam family: Bacterial small subunit ribosomal RNA
Source: RNAcentral
GUACACUCCUGCGGGAGGCCGCAGUGGGGAAUAUUGGACAAUGGGCGCAAGCCUGAUCCAGCCAUGCCGCGUGAGUGAUGAAGGCCCUAGGGUUGUAAAGCUCUUUCACCGGUGAAGAUAAUGACGGUAACCGGAGAAGAAGCCCCGGCUAACUUCGUGCCAGCAGCCGCGGUAAUACGAAGGGGGCUAGCGUUGUUCGGAUUUACUGGGCGUAAAGCGCACGUAGGCGGACUAUUAAGUCAGGGGUGAAAUCCCGGGGCUCAACCCCGGAACUGCCUUUGAUACUGGUAGUCUUGAGUGCGAGAGAGGUGAGUGGAAUUCCGAGUGUAGAGGUGAAAUUCGUAGAUAUUCGGAGGAACACCAGUGGCGAAGGCGGCUCACUGGCUCGAUACUGACGCUGAGGUGCGAAAGCGUGGGGAGCAAACAGGAUUAGAAACCCCAGUAGUCCC